CUGUUUCGAUUCAGAAUAAAAUAUCUUUAGUUAAAUCACCCUAUGAAGAAAUAAUUAAAAGAUGUUUUAUUCAUGACCACAAGAUAGACUUAUACCAUCAUAAUUCCUAGAAAUUCCUAUUGUUGUUGGGAACUUUAAUAUAGGGACCCCAUAUUACUUAAUUUGUUGUGGAAAGAGAGAUAGUAUGAAUAUGAGAACUUGAUUUCUGAUGUCUAGUCAUUUGUAGAAUUAUACUUUUCAAAUCUUAAAAUGAUUAGCUAUACUUCUCCUCUGUACCAAGAAUUGAUGUCCUACUAGAGCCAUGCAUGAUAGAUAUAAACUAGCUCAUAGGCUACUUGCUUUGUAUUGAGUUUUGUUAAACCUUAUUGACCUAUGUUGAGAGGAUUAUCAUGCUCCUAAGAUCAAGAUCACAUACACCCACAUAUAUCUGCCAUUCCUACACUGGGAAUGCGCACAAAUAUGCUUUUUCAUCCACUAAAAAUGUUUUACUCCUACACUGGGAGAAAACACAAAAAGAGUCUUAGUAGGAAUAAUUGCUCUAAGUUCUUUAAAAAGUCUUUCUCAAUAUUUUCUGGUUACAGAAGGAGGUAUGAGGCUAUGCAAAAUAAAAGUAUUGAAAAAAGAGAGAAAAAAAGAGAAAAAGGACAAGUGUCCUAGAAAGAAAGAAGAAUAAAAGAUAGCCUAUACCAUCCUGUGCAACGACCAUCAGUGCUAUUAGAGAAAGAAGACAUUUUCCAAAAGAGCAAUGUAGAAUUAGGAUUAGCCACUAUAUAUUCCACACACAUGCACUUCUUGAUCUAAGAGUAUGCUAUUCCCCUCCAUGGAUCUGAGUUUUGACUAAGCAAGAUAUGCAAGGUAGGUAUGCUAUUUCUUUGAAUUACCUUUAACUCCAUAUAAGCCUAUAUAGAGUAGGAUGUAUCUAUUUACUUUGGUGAGUUCCACAAUACCACAUAUAAUGAGUGAUUCGAGUGUGCUACAUGAUGGAGAAGGGUAAGCUAAGUUUUUAUUUGCAAAAAUAUUAUAAAACUCCAAGUGACAGGGCUAAAGGAAAAGAGAACUCUAUUUUGUACUCCUCCAUCCUCAACCUCUCAAAGUUUUAUGGUAGACACUUUGAAUCCCGUAGUACAGGUAUGACUUGGAAUAAAUCUGGUAAUGUCUUGGUUUGAGGUUAUGAUUAAAAUAGUCUAUCUAUCCUUUUUCCUCGAGGACGAGUAAAAGAUAAG
Molecule: long non-coding RNA, 1223 nt
Filed under: Sorghum bicolor (sorghum)
Lineage: Eukaryota; Viridiplantae; Streptophyta; Magnoliopsida; Poales; Poaceae
Description: long non-coding RNA (SBIC_LNC004430)
Source: RNAcentral